UGUGGACUCAGAAUACGGACAUUUAGAUGAACGAUAUGUCGAUAUGGAUAAUGUGGAUGACAUCGAUGAACGUUACGUAAAUGAUCCAGAGGAGGAUGACUAAUUGACACACUGAUGGAUGUCUUAUCACGCCUGCAUGUAAAUGCAUUAAAAUGAAUUAAAAAAAAUAAGCAAUGUCUAUCUUUUAGUUAUCAUUGAACUGGAUGCAGCAACAUUAUGUAAAUUAAAGAAAACAACAUGUUAUAUUUAAAUAUGAAAGCAAACAUAAAUGUUUUGGAGUAUGCACACGUCACUACGAGUAAACAUACAUAGUUUAUAAAUUUGAUGACACUGAAUUGUGCCGACUUCAAUUAAUUGUUGAUAUAAUAAACAUAAUACACCAUGUGGCGCAACAAUGUCGAAUUCAUAUAAGCCAGAAACAUCAAAAUAUUUUAAAAAGUUGAUGACGGUGUGAAA
This 456-nucleotide long non-coding RNA is filed under the name Mytilus galloprovincialis (Mediterranean mussel). Lineage: Eukaryota; Metazoa; Mollusca; Bivalvia; Mytilida; Mytilidae. The record is from RNAcentral.